ACAGCGAUAAGGGAACCUCGAGUGCCAGGUUACAAAUCUGGCUGUCGAGAUGCCUAACAAGCAUUUCAUAGCAAGGGCCGGGCAAGACCGGUGCCAGCCGCCGCGGUAACACCGGCGGCUCGAGUGGUAACCGUACUUAUUGGGUCUAAAGGGUCUGUAGCCGGCCGGAUAAGUCUCUUGAGAAAUCUGGCAGCUUAACUGUCAGGCUUUCAGGAGAUACUGUCUGGCUCGAGGCCGGGAGAAGUGAGAGAUACUUCAGGGGUAGGGAAGAAAACUUGUAAUCCUUGAAGGACCAUCAGUGGCGAAGCCGUCUCACCAGAACGGACCUGACGGCAAGGGACGAAAGCUAGGGGCACGA
This 358-nucleotide ribosomal RNA is filed under the name uncultured bacterium. RNAcentral describes it as "bacterial SSU rRNA". It matches the Rfam family "Archaeal small subunit ribosomal RNA", at positions 364 to 722 of the family's 1478-position model. The record is from RNAcentral.